This is a long non-coding RNA of Xiphophorus couchianus (Monterrey platyfish), 1729 nucleotides long. RefSeq lists it as uncharacterized. Lineage: Eukaryota; Metazoa; Chordata; Actinopteri; Cyprinodontiformes; Poeciliidae. The transcript is spliced from 2 exons. The record is from RefSeq and is a predicted model, not a curated record.
CUUAAAUUUCUUAAUUUAAUUGAUCCUAAAGUUUUACAUCAAGAUGUCUACAAAGCACUGUUUCAAAAGCUUUGCUUUGCUUUUGAAACAUUAUUUAAGGCUGUUUUAAGUAGUGUAGUACACCAUCUCCACCAGAGAGAGGCAGCAGUGCACGAACAGGCGUUCAAGUGUGUUGAUGAAGAAGAAAUCUUGACUUUGUCGUUGUGAGUUGUACUUGUCUUGUGGGGCCAACCUAAUACAAGUUAUAACAGCCAAACUUCCUGUUUAAAAAGAUGCUGAAGUUUGUCACCUAAUAUAUAUGAGACCAAUUUUAUCCUAAGGACACAUGAUGGGGGGACAAAUGUGGCUAAUGAAGACAUGCUACGCUGUGGAGGGUGAUAAUGAGGACCAGGCACCAGAGGAAGAAGUCUCUGUUUGACCAAAGAGAAAGAAGCAGAUGAAAUAUUCCCCAAUAAAAUUAUUUAAGUCAUUUUUGUGUUACUAUUUUCUCCAGGUGAAGGAGGAUGAAAGGGAAAGGUAAGUGGGGAAUAAGGAGCAGUACGGUAAUCAACAUUCACCAGCUGAGUUAUUAAGUUACGUUUAGACAACUAUUGUUGUCAAAUGUAAAACUGGUGUUUAAUCUAAUUAUUUAUUAAUAAACCUCUUGAAAACAUCGACAAGCCAGAGUAUCUGGUUGGAAAUAAUUUUGAAUGCUCAUUAAGUGAAAAGAUACACUCAUGUGCCUAAAACUAUACAUUAAAUGAUGCAUUUUGAACAACAGUGGCAGUCUGUAUGAACUUCUGCCAAACUUGAACAGAAUAAUUUUGUUCAGCUCUAGUCAUUAUGCUUCUUGUAUUAAAAAAAUCAUUAUAUUACACUUUAUAACAACCAGUCAUGUCAACUUGACAUUUGUCUGCCAGUCUACUAUUCUUACAGUGUGCAGCAAGGGAGAUUCUUGGAAUGGUACUUAAAUAAAUAAUGAAUUAAGAUAACAUUGUUUUUUUAUUUGUUUUUUUUUUGUUUUUUUAAGUGACCACAGUGGAUUGAGUCAUCACCCACUAUGAGAAUGUCCAGAAGAGAUUGACCAAGUUUGAAUUCAUGAAGAGGCUUUCACCAUGAUUAACAUUGACCACAACCAUUGCAAGAACAGCUAUAAUUUCUGAGCAUUUCCGGACACUUUCAAAGAACUGUUUCCAGGAAAGAAGAUCUCCCUGUUUUCAGAGCAUUACAGGAAGGCUAUAACAAAGGAGAUGGCUGAUGCAAUCAAAGCAAAAAAAAAGAUGUUAGGACUGUUGAAAGAACCCUUUUUCAUAAGUUAAAGAAUAAGUAAUUCUGUUUUAGUUUUUUAAUCAGUAUUUCAGAAUUACAAUAUGCUGACCAGAAGUUAAACUCUCUGUUUGAAGAACAGGUAAUAUUUUGUUUUAUUCCAAUAUACAAAGGGUUUGUUCUAUAGCUAUGUUGGUAGUUAUAAGUGGCUCAGUGUGCUCCACUUCACUUCAUUAAUGUUAAGACUUAACAUUAAUGACUGUUAGCAUAGCAUUUGACACUGUAAUAACACUGAAUGACAUCUUUAUAAUCGUUGCUACUAGUUUCACCUUAUUUGAGGCAAGUGUUAAUAGUAAUGACUCUGUAAUGACACUUAAUGACAUCUUCAUAACGUGUGCUACUUGUUCCACUUGAUGUAAAAGGAAUUAUUAAUGACUCUUAUUAAAUCAUUUGACAUUGUAAUAAAGCUUAAUGCAAUCUUUAA